UCUGGUGUUCGCGUGAGUUAUCGUUUCCCUGGCGUAGUGGGACUGGAAGAAUAUUAUCUUGAUGGUUUAUUGAUGCUUACAGUACUCCUGGGUUUUCUUUAUGUACAGGAAGACUUUGUAUUUAUAACUGGUAAAAAUGCGAUGCAACUUCAACAAAUUCGUGUUGCAAAAGUUAUUGGAAACUUGUUGAAGAGGGAGUGAUGUUGUUGGAGACUUGUUGAAGAGGGAGUGAUGUUGUUGGAGACUUGUUGAAGAGGGAGUAAUGUUGUUGGAGACUUUUUGAGAGGGGGUUAUGUUGUUGGAAACUUGUUGAAGAGAGAACAAUGUUGUUGGAAAAUUGUUGAAGAGAGAGAAUAAUGUUGUUGGAAACUUGUUGAAGAGGGAGUAAUGUUGUUGGAGAUUUGUUGAAGAGGGAGUUAUGUUGUUGGAGACUUGUUGGAAAACGAACAAGUUUGUUGGAAACUUUACUGAAGAGCGUGACUCAUUAAAAAAAAGGAAAAACUAUUCGAGUGCGCCAGAUAACGUAUCAGAACAAACAAUGACUUGAUUCCAGUGUCUAGACAUUCAAUUCUGUAACUUGACCGAUGGAAGAGAUGAAAAAUUUACGAAUAAUACGUUUAUUUUGACAUUUGUUUUAACAUUUAUUUUGGGACUAUGCUUGUUGUUAAUCUACAACUCUUCUUGACUGGAUCUCUGUUAAUAAUAUUAUCGUCAGGGGCCAUGGGCGACUCAACCAUCUCGGCGUCCACAGAAGUCUUGACGACCACGAGUGACCCCAUGACAGGUAUGACUGCGAGCAACGCAAGCAACGUGACAGAUGCAUGUUGCAACAAAAACGAGGACUGUUUGGAUGCUAACAGUCACUGUUUUAACUGUACGUGCUUGUGCAAGGAUGGCUACGUCCACUCGACAAAUGUCACAUUCCUCCUGCCUUCGGCGGACAUCAACGGGACUUGCCUCCCCUUGGUGCAAAUCUACGUAGGACAGAACUGCUCCGUACAAGAGGACUGCGCCGGUGGUCUCCUCUGUAGGGAAGGCUCGUGUUCCUGCCCCUCGUCUUGCAAAUUCAAGAAGACUGACUGUCCUGUGACUGCGUUUGGGAAAUGCCAGACGGACUAGGGACAGCCAUAGCAAUCAUUUUCUCCAUAUUAAUCAUGGUGUUUUGGUUCUUCUGCUACAAGGAGGGGGCCAGUCGUUACAUAAUAAGGCGCAGCCGAGGCCGGCGGCCAGCCGAGAGGAGACCCAGCCGAGGCAUCUCGACUCUCGGCGCCGCCUACGGGACGGACCACAUCCGGAUCCAGCCCUGGAAAUCGCAGACGGUCUACUCCUCGCCUUUCAGAAAUCCUCAGACUAUAGCCCCGGCUUCUCCCCAUCUUCCAGGAUACAACGUCUACGGCCACAACCUACAGAACGCCUACCAUUCCAGUCUACUCCUGUUGUCUCCGCCAUACGCUGGUCCAGUCACCGCGUCACUUCCAGCCUAUUUUCACCACCUGUCUGGCUCCGCUGUCACGAUUCCUUACGUGUCCAUGGCUGAAGUGUGCCCAGACGAUGACCUUGGCCAAGAAAGCUGGGAGGGUAGUCGUCAGGGUAGUCAGCCAGAUGGCCUCGACCAGCAGCUGACCUUCCCCAUAGUGCUGCCUUCUACCAAGGGCUCCUCUUCGGCGCCAGGUAGCCACGUGGAGAUGAUUAUCGAAGGCCUAAGGCCAAAUCGCUCCGCGAGAUUUUGAAGUGGGGUUUCGAUGCUUCCGUUUUACAGUGUAUAUAUCAAAGUUAUAGACUCAAGUGAUAUAUAUAGUCUUGUUGCUCCGAUGUCCAUUGUAUACCUACAGGAUCCUCUAAAUUCGUGAAUCAUACUAAGUUAUAUAGGCCAAUAGAUUCCAAUUCACCUGUUGUUCAUUGUACAAGAGAAUUAAGAGUAUAUAUAGAAUUAUAUAAGCGAAUUCCACAGGAAAAUGAUAGGCAGAAAUCCAAGCGCUUUCGUCUUUACUAAGACAUUGUCAAGAGUAGAUAUAGAAUUAUGUGAUGCGCAUAGAUUUCAUUCUAUUUAUCGUAUACGAGGUGCAGAAGACUAUAGAAUACAGAAUCACACGAAACAGGAUUUUCUGUAUUUGUGUGUAUAGUUUUGCAAGACUUUUGCAAAUUAGAUAAAAUAAUAUUUUACUAUUUAACGGCACAAGUAUUCACUUAGUUUGUGAUUAAUGUAUUCGUUUAGUCUGUGAUUGGGUUGUCCAAUGCGGAGUCUGAAUUAGGUGCUAUGACCAGUGAGUUGGGUUUCAGGGAAAGAACGUUUCAAAAUACACCAACAGCUGUCAGAAGUUAGCUGCCCUGAGGAAUUCGCCAGAUGAAUAUUUCCACAAACUUCCAGCAAAAUUCAUUCAGAUAUCCCUGAGAAGUUUUGUUAAAUGAAGACAUUAGACUAGGAAUUUUAUUUUGGCUACAACCAGCAUGUGGAAUAGUUUGACUUGUGCAGUUGUGGAGUCUUCUGUGCUCUCUCUCUCUCUCUCUCUCUCUCUCUCUCUCUCUCUCUCUCUCUCUCUCUCUCUCUCCGUAGGCUGAAUUCCUACCUUCGGAGCCCUCUUGGAUUGAUAUUAAUCCGCUGUCCAUAAUCAUGGCUUUCAGCUGAAGAUCUAAGGAUAGAAAUUCAUGGAUGAGAAGCUGAGAACGCAGCCUUCCCUAGACCCAACCUCAUUGUCAAAGACCGUAGAAAACGUAGAAAACGCGCCGAAGUUUCUAUUAAUCCCGGCCGCUACAGCGUACAAUCAAGGUCACCGAAAAUAGAUAUAUUUUUCGGUGGUCGCUGCCACUGUAUAAUGCUGUAAGAGCCGCGGCCCAAGAAACUAACGGCCAGGUGGUGGCCUAUCAUGUAGGUACCCAUAGCGCUGCCAGAAGAACGAUUAUAGCUAACUCUAAACCUUAAAUAAAAACUACCGAGGCUAGAGCUGCAAUUUAGUAUGUUUUGAUUGGAGGGUGGAUGGUCGGCAUACCAAUUUGCAGCCCUCUAGCCUCAGUAAUUUUUAAGAUCUGAGGGCGGACAGAAAAAAGUGCAGAUGGUGAAUCAGCCGACACAAUAGUUUCCUUUUCAGAAAACUAAUAAAAAACGACAAUAAAUAGUCACGUUUUCCGUCCAUUUUGCCGUUCUGUAAAAUAGCUUAUUUGUAUAGCGAGAAUCUGUGAUUGAAGUUAAACGCGUUGUACAGUAAGUUCCAGAAGUGAAGCGACAAAGCUCAGAACUGAUCGUACUUCUUUAGAAAUUCUUGUGGGGUUGCCAGUUAGUAUAUUCUAUUCCAAUUAUUGUCAUCCUAUUUAUAUGAUAAUACGUAUCAGUGAUUAACUGUAUAAGCACAGAAAAUAUUUCCUCAGUGAUUGAUCAAUGUUAGUUCAAUAAUUGUUUAUUAAAUGGAAAGAAAAUUCCCCAUAGAAUCAUCUGCGGCUCUCAAUGUGUGAUAUCAAGUGUUCAACAUAGAGUGACAGCAGGAACCGAGUGCAUAAGCAUUGGCCUAAUAUAAUUUGUAAAUUAACUUUCUACUUUUAUAGCGUUAUAUCGAAAGUUAUUAUGAUUUCUUUUGAUAAAGCACUGAGAAGUUUAGCAUCUGAUUAAAUGAAAUAUAAAUAAGACAAAAGUUUGUGUAAAAAAAAACCCAAGUAUAUGCGCGUUUAGCGUUGGCUACAUGGUUAGGCCUAUUUCAAGAAUCAAGGAAAUAUAUUUUCCAGCUUGUUAGAUAAUAAUUUCAUCGAAUUCCUCAAUUGUGCAAAUUUUUGCACGUGGAAUUGCG
This is a long non-coding RNA of Macrobrachium nipponense, 3776 nucleotides long. RefSeq lists it as uncharacterized. The record is from RefSeq and is a predicted model, not a curated record. Lineage: Eukaryota; Metazoa; Arthropoda; Malacostraca; Decapoda; Palaemonidae. The transcript is spliced from 7 exons.